UGAUCAUUCUUCAAUCCUUGUUAAUAAACAAACACUACUAGUUUUUCUCUGACGAAAAAUGUUAACUUGAGAAAUUUGAUGGGGAGUGAUUAGUAUACUAAUCCCUAUUGUUUCACGCAUGCUCAGAGUUAAAUGUGCACUCUUUAAUAAUCAAGUCCAUUUUGAUGACCAAGAUUUCAUACAGCAGAUAAAGUUGAGUUUUCAGCACGGCUGUGUCUUUACAAAUUUCUAUGGAACACCCUGCACUGAUGCCUUGAGUGUAUGGAACACUCUCUGAUAUCCGACUUUGCAUGCAAGCUCUUUGCCCCUUCAAAAUCUUAGUUUUUGGCACAAUUGAUCAACUGAUUCAAGUGAUGUGAUAAUUCAGUUGUGGUUAGUGAUAGCACUUUCUGUUUUCAUUUAAGUCGUUUAUGAAAUUUCUGUAUUUCUUAAGUCACCAAUCUGCCAUCUGCCGCUUCCUUUAUGCUCAACGCAUCAACCCUUUGUCUCCUACAUAAGUUGUCGCGAGAAAAAGCUUAAUUUCACCAUGCGCUCUGGAUGCCAACAGCAUUAGCUAAUUGUUGCUAGUAGCUUGUUCAUUUUGCAUUUCCCCCUUGUUUAAUCAAUUAGAAAGAAAAAAAAAAGAGUUGUUAUGCAACAAAUGAACUAAAGUGAUAAUGGGAUAGAUUGAUUUAUAUAUGUGAGGAUCUUGAAGAAAGAAAAUUCUAUAUUCCAUAGAAAAUUUCCAGUACCAUGUCGUGAUUUUUACAGUUAGGAGGAACUAGAAAGGCUAUUGUGUAUCAUCUCAGAAAGUAUGUCUAAUCUUCAUAUCUUCAUACAUACGUAUGCAAGUAUGCAAGAUGUGCGUGGUAUAUUCUAUAACCCGUCUGUCCAUAAAAUUUCCGCAUUGCAAUUUUUCCAUCGCAUUGUGGGUUCAACUCUCAACUCUUACAACCAACAUAGCAAGUCUUCAUGUUUUAACAACUUCUGGUUGUUUGCAUUAAAUCUACUCCUCAGGGGGGCCUUUCAACAAAGAAUUGGAACUAGCUUCUGCUGGAGUCUCAGAUAUUCUUGCUUCUGAUUUUUCAUUUGAAUAUCUGGCAAAGAGAAAAGAUUACCAUGCCAGAACAAAACUGAGAUCAAGUGGAAGCAAACAAGAUGGCUAAAAUAUGUUUCCUCUAAAUACUAUCCACACACACUGGUAUCUUAUACACAACUUAAGGCAGUUAUUAAGAUUCCAAUUUCCAAAGCUUUCUAUGGCAGCGUCACUGCUGGGACCACUGAAAAAAUGCAGCAUGCAGCUUUAACUUUUCCAAAUCAGAAUUUACUGGAGAAGGAACGAAGACAACUGAACAACCCUAAGACCUAAGAUUCUCCUCUUCCUUAACAAGAGUUCGGAUUACAUAAACAUCCGCAUAUUGGCCAGAAGAAUUUAGCUUUUCUUUUUUUUUUGGAAAAAUUACUCUUUUAAUUUUUCAAUUCUUCCCUUUUUAAGAAAAUGCAGUUUAAGUCCUUCAGUUAUAAAAAAAACUCAUUACUAGUCCCCAAAAAUAAUCCAAAACAUCUCAUUUUGGACCAUUAAAGAAUCAAAAUAUUAUGUCUCUAGAAAAGAAAGUGCCUAAAUUCCACAAUAAUUCAUAACACUACUUACGUUGAGAGUAUUGUCACCCAAAUAAGUUCUACACAGUCCACCCAAAGAAGCCUUUGUUCUACUGGAAUCACACCAUAUGUAAUAAGAUGAGCAAAAGGCCACAGUUUCCACCCUGCCUGCACAACAGAACACAUCAAAGAAGAUAAAAUUAAGAUAUCUAUUCACUAAAAAGCUUCCCUGCCUGACUACAGGCCACAUCAUCAAGUACAGAGAAAAGGUCACGAUGUUUACAGUUAGCAUUGGCCAGAAUGUAGCCUUUAAUUCACUAAAAAUGUUGGCGGGAGAUUCCAGACGUAGAAAUCCCAAUGCUGUAUAAUAGAUGCUGUUCCAAACUGCUGCCCAUGCAGUUUGGUCAAAGGCCACUUUGGCAGGAACCACCCACCAGUCUUGAAAUGGAAAAAGCUCCUCACAAAACUGGUAGUAGUAAUGUGAAAGAGAGCCAUGUAAUGUAAAGCCAACAAGGCCUGAUCUAAACAUUCGUGCUCGAUCAAACUCAAAGAGUGGUUUACCUUCAAAACACUGUGCAAUCCAAUCCCCUACAGAAUAGACCACUCCACUGAUCAUCAUUUUUGCUAAAACUGGAUUUGUCUUAAGAGCCUCCCCGUAAGCACUCCAAUUGUGUUGAGGGGCAUAUCUCAGUAUCUCAUAAAAGGUCCACCCCUAAGAAAAAAGCAAAGGAACAAGACAUGAAAUAAAAUAUGUUAACAACUAUAGAUAUCUAGCAAUCCAACAGCAAAUAAAACACAUCCAACUAUGUUCACUUUACAAUAAUUGUAGUAAUGGAAAUAUUCUUGGAUGAAAUUCCCAAUAUUCCUGAUAUAAAAUCAUCCUAAAUGCCCAAAAGGCAGCACCUGUGAGACAUCUGACCCAGUUAUAGGUCAGACCCAAAGAUUAGGACUCAGAUAUGAGUGAGUUUAGCAGCCAACUUAUGAGGCAUGGACACCGUACCACUCACCAAGUUGGAUGCAAAUCCCAAAUUGAUGCCUAUAAAAAGGGGAUCAACAGGUACGCUUAUACAACCUAAUUGAAUAUUAACUCUUAGAUUUCCUCUACUGAAAGCGAAAGAAUCCUGUUUCCUCUCAAUGAAAGCUCACAGUGAAACGUCAAAACAAGCAACUGUGAAUUAAUUCAGUCACUCUACCACAAUAGCAUCUGUUAAACCAUUAGUACCAUUAAUCUUGGAUUUUUCCAUUAUUGCCUCAACCAUAAUACUCGUAGAACUCUCAGUCUUCCCAUAAGAACUUCAGCAUUCACCAAAUCAGUACCAAACUGCACAUUAACCAAUGUUAUUUAGUCAAAACAUCUAAUCAUUUCAGCUCAUGUAGCCAACAUCCUCUUACAACCAUUAAGUUUUCUGCCUUUUCUUUAUAUAUAAUCCAACCUCAUUGGUAAUGCAACUAAUCCUUUUGAAUUAGCCCUGUUCCAGUUUACCUUUGCAGCUAGCACAUCUCAUUAUUUCACUCAUAGAGCAACAGAUAAAAAUUCUAAGCAUCGUAUUACAAAAUCUUCAGCUUCGUUGUCAGUAUUGCAACCACUUCAGAGCAUCUUUUAACCAAUUAGACAUCUAAGGCUCCAUUAAAUUAACUUGCUUCUUUGGAUUUUGCUAUCAUGGAAGCCAAGAAGAAAGUAAUACUUGAUUAGAAUACAACAGGCAGGCAGUAUUUACACAGCACAAGGGAAAUCUUAGGUUCAAUAUAAAAUACCACAUCAUAGAUCAAAGGAAAUUUUCCAAAAGCUAAUAAUGAUAAAAGCAACAAAUUCGACUUGCUCCAAUGCAAGGCGAAAAAGAGAUUGAAGAAAUUCUUGAUUUGUCCAAAGAUCUACUAUGAUGAAGAAAAUUCUAAAGAAAAGAAUGAUAAAAAUGGGGAGCUUUUACAAUGUUCUAAACCUAAGUCAACAAAAACAAGUUUCAUACAACAUCACAACAGUAAAAAAAAUGCCCAUAGCACAUAAAGAAACUAAUUAAGCUAACAUAAAAUAAAGUAACACCAAAACAUUAACAGUAUCGCCCAUAAAAUUAGAACAAAAGGCCUCAAUAAUUGCUAUUGCAACAUAAAUCAAAAUUAGUAUACAAGCAACACAUAUACACAUGAUUUCCAUGUACUUACGUGCCAGUAAUCAUGAUCAAUUGUAAGCAACUUGGUUAUGGCAUAAGAACCAGCAGCAAGAACAAUCAUUGCGUUUAUAGUCCUAUCAAUUAAUCUAUCCAUUUCGGAUUCGCUCUGUCUCCCUCCAUCAUCUCCAAUACCAGAACUAGAAGGAGAAGAAAACCCCUCAAAAGACAGUUGCCCCUCAUUCGAUCCAAACCCGCUAACUUGAGUCGCCAACUCAGUCCCUUCGCUCUCUACCUGACUCACCGCCAUCCCUUCUUGCUGGUCCGUGCUGUCUCUACUCUGUACUGGGAUAACAUCAAGCUCUUCUUGCACAACGGAGUUCAAGAACCAACUCUCAAUUCUACGUUUGCUUCUAGAGAAAAUUGGGCUCUCACGAUAUUUUGAGCCGAGAAAAUUCGAGUUGGGAAGGGUUUUCGCGGUGGCUUUUUUGGAUUUGGAAAGAGGAAGGAGACUAUGGGGAGAAAUGGUGUGGAGAGAAGCCAUAGGCAGCCAACUGAGUUGAGUUGAACGAGUUACCUAUCUAACUAAGUGUUCGUUUCUCCGAGUUGGACUGCGAGGGAAGCGAGCUUAUAUUGGUGGGUUCAUGAUCUUCUGUGCUAUUGAGAACGAAAUAAUGUCGCACACUUUUUUGUUUACAAUGAUAAACGGUAAUGAUGAUGUC
This 4405-nucleotide unclassified non-coding RNA is filed under the name Hevea brasiliensis (rubber tree). Lineage: Eukaryota; Viridiplantae; Streptophyta; Magnoliopsida; Malpighiales; Euphorbiaceae. The record is from RNAcentral.